UGGGGAAUUUUGCGCAAUGGGGGAAACCCUGACGCAGCAACGCCGCGUGAGUGAUGAAGGCCUUCGGGUCGUAAAGCUCUUUUAGUGGGGACGAAGCCCACCAGGGCUAAUAUCCCUGGUGAAUGACGGUACCCACAGAAUAAGUCUCGGCUAACUACGUGCCAGCAGCCGCGGUAAUACGUAGGGUGCGAGCGUUAAUCGGAAUUACUGGGCGUAAAGCGUGCGCAGGCGGAUUGUUAAGCAAGACGUGAAAUCCCCGGGCUUAACCUGGGAAUGGCGUUUUGAACUGGCAGUCUAGAGUGUGUCAGAGGGGGGUGGAAUUCCACGUGUAGCAGUGAAAUGCGUAGAGAUGUGGAGGAACACCAAUGGCGAAGGCAGCCCCCUGGGAUAACACUGACGCUCAUGUACGAAAGCGUGGGUAGCAAACAGGAUUAGAUACCCUGGUAGUCCACGCCCUAAACGAUGUCAACUGGUUGUUGGGGGAGUGAAAUCCCUUAGUAACGAAGCUAACGCGUGAAGUUGACCGCCUGGGGAGUACGGUCGCAAGAUUA
Molecule: ribosomal RNA, 551 nt
Filed under: uncultured bacterium
Lineage: Bacteria
Description: bacterial SSU rRNA
Rfam family: Bacterial small subunit ribosomal RNA
Source: RNAcentral